CACCAAGUUUGUCAAACAAGAUGGAUUGUUUUUCCGGAUUCGCCGCACAUUCCUUCCUUCCUUCCUUCUUAAAAUCAGAGUCCUUCAAUAAUUAGAACUCCAUUUCUCUCCUGAUCCAAUAACUAUUCAAUUUCUCUUUAUAAUAAUAAACACAGACACAGAGACAGAGACAGAGACAGAGACACAGAGUAAAGGUCUAUCCAUAUUCUUUGGCAAGAAAAUCUGAGAGUUCUUGAAUUCCAGGUUGCUGAAUUGUUGAAGGUUGAAGCAGAGAGCACUUUUUUUGUCUAAAUUUGGAAUCAAGAUUCAAUUUUUGGAAGGUUUUGGUUUGUGGGUCAUUUUUAUAGAGUAGAUUUCAGCUUUAGAAGUCCAAAUUUUAGGUAGUUUUAGUUGCUUUAGAUUAAGAUUUCACAUGCUAAAUUGUUUCCAUUUUACAGUUCAAUUUUUAUGAGUGGAUUUCAGUUAUGGGAAUCAGAUUUUAGUUAGUUCCUCUGGAGUUUGAGGACCUACAUGAUUCAUAUUUGCUGAAAAGAGGUAGAUUCAUGGGGAAAGCCAUGAACUUGGCUUCUUCACCAAAAGGGACUAAUCCUGCUAUGGCUGCGUUUCCACGGUCACUUUCUUCAAUGGCAGCCUCAGUGGGAGGCCUUGCAUUAUUCUUGGUUAUUGCUUCUUUGCUUUUGGUUUCAUACCCUAUAGGUUCCACUGUUCGUGGAUACUUUUAUGGGAUAGAUAGCUCCAGACAAGUGGAUUUACUCAUUUUUGAAGGCAAUCAGAGCUCGAUUGAUCUGCACCAUGAUAGUAAUUUAGAUGUGGUUGAUGAGGAUUCUUCACUCGGGUUAGAUUUAAAAGGGCCCAUUAGUUUAGGUGGUGUUAAUAAUAACAGUGUAAAUGUCAUUGAUAGUCAAUCUGAGUUUAAUUUACAAGAAUCCACUACUGGUACAAGAAAAGAAGGGCAGACCAACCCUAAGGGUGGUUCAGUUACUUUAAGUGUCAAAGAAAUUGAUGCAGAUAAAGGAUCAGAAGAGAAUAGCACAGAUGCUGCUUCUGCAGAUUCUAAAUCAGGGGCCAAGUCAGAUAUAUCUGCUGUGCCCAGUAAUGCAUCCAAAACUGGUUCAGAUGAUUCAGGCUGUGAUUUGUACCAAGGAAGUUGGUUUUACGAUUCACUGGGACCAUUAUACACAAACAACACAUGCCCUGUCCUGACACAGAUGCAGAAUUGCCAGGGAAAUGGAAGGCCUGACAAGGAAUAUGAGAAUUGGCGGUGGAAACCUUCCCAGUGUGACCUCCCACGAUUCGAUGCCAAGAAGUUUCUGGAAUUGAUGAGAGGGAAAACAAUAGCUUUCAUUGGUGACUCUGUUGCUCGAAACCAGAUGGAAUCGAUGUUGUGCCUUCUCUGGCAGGCAAAAGCUCCUAAAAACCGAGGGAACAAAAAAAUGCAACGAUAUUUCUUUAGGUCAACAUCUACCAUGGUUGUCCGAAUAUGGUCCUCUUGGCUUGUUCACCAAACAUCAGAAUCUAUUGACUUCGCUCCAAAGGGUGUUGUCAAACUCCACCUUGAUGCCCCGGAUGAGCAUUUCAUGGAAUUCAUCCCAAAUUUUGAUGUGAUUGUUCUCUCUUCUGGACACUGGUUUGCCAAGCAGUCAGUCUAUGUCCUCAACAAUGAAAUUGUAGGGGGACAGUUGUGGUGGCCAGACAGAUCUCGUCCAAUGAAGAUUAACAACGUUGAAGCAUUUGGGAUAUCUGUUGAGACAAUUCUCACAUCCAUUGCCACACAUCCAAAUUUUACUGGGCUAACUAUUCUCCGCACAUAUUCACCUGACCAUUACGAGGGCGGGGCAUGGAAUACUGGUGGAUCAUGCACUGGGAAGGAAAAGCCUCUUGCACCAGGUGAAUUAGUGGAAAAUGGCUUUACUGAAAUAAUGCAUAAGAAACAGAUAACAGGUUUUGAUCGAGCAAUUAAUAAGGCGACCAAUAAAUCAAAGUUGAAGCUGAUGGAUAUCACUGAAUCCUUCGGCUAUCGCCAUGAUGGACAUCCAGGUCCAUACCGAAGCCCUGACCCUAAUAAACUCACAAAACGCGGUCCACAUGGAAAGCCACCACCGCAGGAUUGCUUGCACUGGUGCAUGCCUGGCCCAGUUGAUACCUGGAAUGAACUUGUGCUUGAAAUCAUUAGAAGAGAUUUUGAAGCCAACCAAGACCCUUCAAUAUGAGGUUGUUAUGUUUCCAUUUCCAAGCAGCCUACAGACAUGCACCUAGUGUAAUGGUCGUAGAGAAGCCUACACACCUAUACUUAGUAAUUGAAAAGACCGUUGGUCUCUUGAGUAUAAAAAGCAGAAGCAAUGCAGUUUGAACUGAAUCCAGCUCCCCUUCUGCGGAUGAUAAACAUUAGUCAGCCUUCCAUAUCAUUGUAUAGAGAGCAGAUGCAGUGCAUUUGGAUUGGACAAAAGGAGAUCCAAAUGCCAAGUUUAUAAGUUAGCCCCGGUGGCAUGAAUCACGAAAGAGGAGUUAAAUAGCAGCUUUCUUCAUUGUUUCAUUUUUUAAGGAUUUUGCCCGUUUAUAGGAUUUUGAGUGAAUAAUAAUUUAGUCCUUGUGUGUUUAAUGAUGUCAUAACUUGGUGCUCUGAUUAAAGAAAUCACAACUUAAUCCCUUCUGUA
This is an RNA transcript of Populus trichocarpa (black cottonwood), 2654 nucleotides long. It is a transcript of the gene named protein YLS7, with no coding region annotated. NCBI's taxonomy places the organism in Eukaryota, Viridiplantae, Streptophyta, Magnoliopsida, Malpighiales, Salicaceae. The record is from RefSeq and is a predicted model, not a curated record. The transcript has 5 exons.